This is a long non-coding RNA of Coregonus clupeaformis (lake whitefish), 293 nucleotides long. RefSeq lists it as uncharacterized. The transcript is spliced from 3 exons. The record is from RefSeq and is a predicted model, not a curated record. Lineage: Eukaryota; Metazoa; Chordata; Actinopteri; Salmoniformes; Salmonidae.
AUGACAGGAGGUUAAGGUUAGGAGGAGUGUUGAUGGUUUCUAAACCCUCCCAAUGACAGGAGGUUAAGGUUAGGAGUAGUGUUGAUGGUUUCUAAACCCUCCCAAUGACAGGAGGUUAAGGUUAGGAGUAGUGUUGAUGGUUUCUAAACCCUCCCAAUGACAGGAGGUUAAGGUUAGGAGUAGUGUUGAUGGUUUCUAAACCCUCCCAAUGACAGGAGGUUAAGGUUAGGAGUAGUGUUGAUGGUUUCUAAACCCUCCCAAUGACAGGAGGUUAAGGUUAGGAGUAGUGUUGA